UAACCUGCCCAGAAGUAGGGGAUAACACCUGGAAACAGAUGCUAAUACCGUAUAACAGAGAAAACCGCAUGGUUUUCUUUUAAAAGAUGGCUCUGCUAUCACUUCUGGAUGGACCCGCGGCGUAUUAGCUAGUUGGUGAGGUAAAGGCUCACCAAGGCAGUGAUACGUAGCCGACCUGAGAGGGUAAUCGGCCACAUUGGGACUGAGACACGGCCCAGACUCCUACGGGAGGCAGCAGUAGGGAAUCUUCCACAAUGGACGCAAGUCUGAUGGAGCAACGCCGCGUGAGUGAAGAAGGGUUUCGGCUCGUAAAGCUCUGUUGUUAAAGAAGAACGUGGGUAAGAGUAACUGUUUACCCAGUGACGGUAUUUAACCAGAAAGCCACGGCUAACUACGUGCCAGCAGCCGCGGUAAUACGUAGGUGGCAAGCGUUAUCCGGAUUUAU
Molecule: ribosomal RNA, 445 nt
Filed under: Pediococcus sp.
Lineage: Bacteria; Bacillati; Bacillota; Bacilli; Lactobacillales; Lactobacillaceae
Description: bacterial SSU rRNA
Rfam family: Bacterial small subunit ribosomal RNA
Source: RNAcentral